Molecule: long non-coding RNA, 1330 nt
Organism: Cucumis sativus (cucumber)
Lineage: Eukaryota; Viridiplantae; Streptophyta; Magnoliopsida; Cucurbitales; Cucurbitaceae
Exons: 2
Source: RefSeq, a predicted model, not a curated record
ACACGCAAAGUUAGUGUAUUGUUUUCACUAGUGAAUUGUCUGCUAAAACUCCAUCCAUUUUUACUGUGUUUGGUGUUGAGAAGCAUUUUUUUUACCUACUAUUUCUUUCUAUUGUGGUGCUAAGUUGAUAAGAAUACUAAGUAUUAAGAUUGACAGUCAAUGACUUUGAUCAUGAAGUUUAGUUUGUUUGUGUAAAUUUGAUGACUUUGUUGACACCCUUACUAUUUUGUUUAAUGGCUUUGUUGAUCAUGAUUUCAGAAUGUGUUGACUGUUUACUGUGUACUCAGGUUUUUUGUUUUUAUUUCAAAAGGAUUAAGAAAGUGUUCGUGAAUUGGUAUCUCUACGUCUUCUAUUUCAAAAUUGUUUAAUUGGUUUUGUUUUCUUUUCAUUUUUUUUAGAAUUGGUUAACUUUUUAUUUGCAAAAGGAAAAGUUUGAAAGUGUGAACUCCAUAUGAUACAAUUUUUACUGAUUCCACCCAUUUUAUAGAAACAUUUUAAUUUUUUUUUGUUAGAUUUAAGAUAAAUAGAUUUAUCUUAAAAGGAGCAAUUUUUUUAAUAAAAAAUUGAAUAUGGAAGAGGAAACAUAAUAAAAUUAUGGUUGGCUUUCAACUCUAAGAAAGAUUUUAAAUUUGGUAAUAUUUUCAAAAUACAGUUGUUUCCUUCUACGGAAGUGUUAUGUGAUAAAUAUUAGUCAAACAAAUAUUGAAGUCAUUAUUUUUUAUAGAGUUGUAAAAUAUUGGUGGUUAUAUCUCCAAAAAGAAGAAAACACAAAUGUAUUUAAAGAAGUUAUGGAGAUGAGCUAUUUGCACCAUUAAAUAUAUACUUUUUGGUAAUUUAUGUAUUAGAAUGUUCUUCCGAAGUUGGAGUAGUUGAAUGUGGGUACUAUGUGAUGAGAUACAUCAAAGAUAUAAUCGUUAAUGGGAGCAUAGUAGUCAUAGAUUCGAUUGAUACAAGAAGUUCAUAUAGUCAAUUCAAGUUGGAUGAAGUGUGCAUGGAGCUUGCUGAUUUUUUGGGUGGCCACAUAUGAUUUUAUGGUGAAUUUUAUGGCCACAAGAAGUACAUAUAGAUAGACAAGCUUUUGUUGAUACAGGAUGUACAUAUGUGUGCUAUUUUGUUGAUAUACUUGGAUAUAUCUAGGUGAAUUAGGUUUAGUUGAUAUUUUUGUUGAUACGCUUAUAGUUAGGCUACACAUGGAUGGAAAGUUUAGGUGGAAAGUUUAAGCUGUUGUUAGAAAAGUUAGGCUAACUACAUGUAUGUAUAUGGUUCAUUGAUAUAUAUAUGUUAAAAUAUUUUUAGUUCUUUGAUGGAAAAAGUUUAGUUCAUUUAAUUA